AUGGUACACUCAGGUCGGCCACACCCCGAGAACCAGGUUCUCUGGGUUCUGCAAGCCCGUGUGGCCAACACAGCACUCUUCGACAUGCCUCAUCUGGGGGGCGAUGAAGAGACAGUCAUGGGGCGGCCAGGCCUCGACCAUGAUUCUGGCGACCAUCGAGGCCGUGCAGGAGCCACGGUGCUCUAUGGUCGUCCACGUCGCAACCCCGACACGCUCGGGGUCCAUUGA
This 228-nucleotide ribosomal RNA is filed under the name Triticum aestivum (bread wheat). Its description in RNAcentral is "partial small subunit ribosomal RNA". Lineage: Eukaryota; Viridiplantae; Streptophyta; Magnoliopsida; Poales; Poaceae. The record is from RNAcentral.